AAGAGAGAGACAUGCGCGCAUAUCAAUAAGCGGAGGAAAAGAAACUAACUAGGAUUCCCUCAGUAACGGCGAGUGAAGCGGGAAGAGCUCAAAUUUGAAAUCUUCAAGGUUCUACCUUGACGAAUUGUAGUUUAAAGAGGUGUUUUCUGUUGAAGUUUUGGUAAAAGUUCUUUGGAAUAGGACAUCAUAGAGGGUGAGAAUCCCGUAUUUGACCAUUAUUUCCAGCUGUGUGAUACACUUUCAAAGAGUCGGAUUGUUUGGGAAUGCAGUCCAAAAUGGGUGGUAAAUUUCAUCUAAAGCUAAAUACUGGCGAGAGACCGAUAGCGAACAAGUACCGUGAGGGAAAGAUGAAAAGAACUUUGAAAAGAGAGUUAAACAGUACGUGAAAUUGUCAAAAGGGAAGCGUUUGACACCAGUGUUGUUUUCUCGAAAAUCAAUUAAAAAAGGCAGGAUUUUGUGUUGUAUUGACUUUAUCAGCUUUCUGCACUCUUUACUUGUCUUUUUUAAUGCACUUUCCGUUUAACAAGUCAACAUCAAUUUCUUUUGUUGUAAAAGGGUCAUUGGAAGGUGGCUUUCUUUUCGGAGAAAGUGUUUAUAGCCUUUGGCCUCUGCAAUCGGAGAGAUUGAGGUCUGCAGCGUAGAUCCUUCGGGGUUAGAUACAUUUGUGCUAAGUUAUAGCCUUUCAUAGACAACUUGUUGACUAUGAUCAGUCAUGUAGCUUACUCGCUUAGUGCUAUUUUACCUACGCUUAGGAUGUUGAUGUGAUACUGCGAGCA
Molecule: ribosomal RNA, 776 nt
Filed under: uncultured Neocallimastigales
Lineage: Eukaryota; Fungi; Neocallimastigomycota; Neocallimastigomycetes; Neocallimastigales
Description: partial large subunit ribosomal RNA
Rfam family: Eukaryotic large subunit ribosomal RNA
Source: RNAcentral